UAGUCAUAUGCUUGUCCUAAAGAUUAAGCCAUGCAUGUCCAAGUAUAAACCUUUAUACGGUGAAACUGCGAAUGGCUCAUUAUAUCAGUUAUAAUUUACAUGAUGAUGACUUGCUACAUGGAUAACCGUGGUAAUUCUAGAGCUAAUACAUGCAAAGGGCCCGCGAGGGUGGCAUUUAUUGGAUGGAACCAGCGAAAGAUGGUGAAUCAUGAUAACUGAGCGGAUCGCAUGGCCUCGAGCUGGCGACGCUUCAUUCAAAUUUCUGCCCUAUCAACUUUGGAUGGUAGGAUAGAGGCCUACCAUGGUGGUGACGGGUGACGGGGAAUUGGGGUUCGAUUCCGGAGAGGGAGCCUGAGAGAUGGCUACCACUUCCAAGGAAGGCAGCAGGCGCGCAAAUUACCCAAUCCCGACACGGGGAGGUAGUGACAGUAAAUAACGAUGCGGGGCCGUAUGUCUGCAGUGAAGAGAGAAUAA
This 474-nucleotide ribosomal RNA is filed under the name uncultured eukaryote. RNAcentral's name for it is "bacterial SSU rRNA". It matches the Rfam family "Eukaryotic small subunit ribosomal RNA", at positions 21 to 523 of the family's 1831-position model. The record is from RNAcentral.